Molecule: ribosomal RNA, 1114 nt
Filed under: uncultured fungus
Lineage: Eukaryota; Fungi
Description: eukaryotic LSU rRNA
Rfam family: Eukaryotic large subunit ribosomal RNA (bases 482-1114)
Source: RNAcentral
AAGUCGUAACAAGGUCUCCGUAGGUGAACCUGCGGAGGGAUCAUUACAGAGUUCUCGCCCUAACGGGUAGAUCUCCCACCCACUGUUAUCGUUACCGUCGUUGCUUUGGCGGGCCGCCAGGCCCGCCGAAGGCCCUAUAAACUCUGAAUGUUAGUGUCGUCUGAGUACUAUACAAUAGUUAAAACUUUCAACAACGGAUCUCUUGGUUCUGGCAUCGAUGAAGAACGCAGCGAAAUGCGAUAAGUAAUGCGAAUUGCAGAAUUCAGUGAGUCAUCGAAUCUUUGAACGCACAUUGCGCCCUGUAGUAUUCCGCAGGGCAUGCCUGUUCGAGCGUCAUUUCAACCCUCAAGCUCUGCUUGGUGUUGGGCCAAGCCCCCGCGGCCGGCCCCAAAGCCAGUGGCGGUGCCGUCCGGCUCUAAGCGUAGUACAUCUCUCGCUCUAGAGCCUCGCGGUUACCUGCCAGAACCCACACUCUUAUGGUUGACCUCGAAUCAGGUAGGGAUACCCGCUGAACUUAAGCAUAUCAAUAAGCGGAGGAAAAGAAACCAACAGGGAUUGCCUCAGUAACGGCGAGUGAAGCGGCAACAGCUCAAAUUUGAAAUCUGGCCCUCUCAGGGUCCGAGUUGUAAUUUGGAGAAGAUGCUUCGGGUGUGGCCCCGGUCUAAGUUCCUUGGAACAGGACGUCACAGAGGGUGAGAAUCCCGUACGUGACCGGUGGCCUCCCCCAUGUGAAGCUCUUUCGACGAGUCGAGUUGUUUGGGAAUGCAGCUCAAAAUGGGUGGUAAAUUUCAUCUAAAGCUAAAUAUUGGCCAGAGACCGAUAGCGCACAAGUAGAGUGAUCGAAAGAUGAAAAGCACUUUGGAAAGAGAGUUAAACAGUACGUGAAAUUGUUGAAAGGGAAGCGCUUGCAACCAGACUUGCGCGCGGCCGAUCAUCUGGUGUUCUCACCGGUGCACUCGGUCGCGCUCAGGCCAGCAUCGGUUUAGGUGGUUGGAUAAAGGCCUCGGGAAUGUGGCUCUCUUCGGGGAGUGUUAUAGCCCGAGGUGCAAUGCAGCCCACCUGGACCGAGGACCGCGCUUCGGCUAGGAUGCUGGCGUAAUGGUUGUAAGCGACC